CUCGGAUCGCCGACAUGUUGGCUGCAGCGAGAGGCCGUCCUGCAACAGGAGGAGGACACGGAGAAACAGAGACCAGGUUGGAGGUGUCGCUGCAAUGCGUGUGAAGUUGAGCCGCCACUGAGAGUGAAACUCAAGCUGCCAGCGAGGGACAGUCCUGCAGGACGCUGUGAGCUGAACUUCAGACGGACCGAGGGACGUGUCUUGGGUUCCAGUCCUGCAUCCCAUGCCGCUCCACGUCAAACUUUUCCAAAUGUCUUAACCUUCCUUUCUCCUUCUCCCAACAUGGACAACAAUCUCUGUAGAGGAUAGGUCUGUCCAGCAACUGGACCCUCCUCCUCUGUCUCAACCAGACCUUUGGUCCAACAGGGAGUGGAUGUUCCUCCAGACCAGAAGUUCUCCUGUCCUCCAGUCUUGUUGCCGUGGUGACGGAGGUCCGGAUCACUGUGCCCACACGGUCGACUGUCGGGCAGGAAAACAAGGAGCGGAUCACUUUUCC
Xiphophorus maculatus (southern platyfish) is the source of this 496-nucleotide long non-coding RNA. RefSeq lists it as uncharacterized. Lineage: Eukaryota; Metazoa; Chordata; Actinopteri; Cyprinodontiformes; Poeciliidae. The transcript is spliced from 3 exons. The record is from RefSeq and is a predicted model, not a curated record.